GGGGAGGCUGGGGAUAGCAAGCCAGUAAUUAGUAAUAGACUCUUUUCAUCGAGGGAUCAGGUUAAGGGUAGCCUAAGAAAUUUUCGUGACAAUUAAUUAAUUAAGCUAAUAAUUCAAGAGGAGUAAAUAAGAGAGAGCGGAUAAGAUGAAAUUGUAAACCCCCAACAACUCCAUUCAUCCAUUGUUUUCUUUUUGUCAAUUGAAUCAAUCUCUUUUACAUGUUUAUAUUUUAUUCGCACAACCAAUUAAUUAAUUCUUAUUUUCAAGUCUUANGAUUUUAAUUCACACGAACGAUAAGGCCUUUCGAGUCUCUUGGGAAAACGAUACUUGGACUUACCAUUUAUUAUUACUUGAUACGAUUUGGUACACUUGCCAAUCCGUUAACACUGACUCUCCUUCUCCCUCUUGCCUCGCUUAAGCCUUCGAGAAGAGGUUGCGUAUUUUUCUUGCUCCUAGUUUGUCUGGGCUCCUGCUGCAUGCACAAGAAACACAAACCCUAGUAGCACUUUUUUAUAUUUUCAAAAAAAAUAAAAAGAUAAAAAGAUAUAUUCAAUCAAGUCAAACUUAAUCAGUUUACACUACUAGAUAAGUUAAACCACGAGUCCCCGGCAAUGGUGCCAAAAACUUGUUAAGUCUCUGGCAAGUGUACCAGAUCGUUAUCAAGUAAUAUAAGCGAGUAAGUCCGAGUAUUGUUUUCCCAAAGGACUCUUAGGCCUUAACUUUCAUGUAACCUAAUCUUUUAAGACUUGAGAAGAGAAUAAAAUUUUGUGGUUAUAUGCAAAGAACAAAAAUAAACAUGCAAUGUAGUUGAUUCAAUUGGUUUUGUGAAACUAUGGAUGAAUGGUGUUGUUGGGGUUUACAAUUUCAUCUUAUCCACUCUCAUAUAUCUACUCUUCUUAUUUAAUUCACUUAUUUAUCUAAUUGCCAUGCAUACUUUCUUAUUUACCCUUAACCCAAUCCCUUGAUGAAAAGAGCCUAUUAUUAAUUACCGGCUUGCUAUCCCUAGCCUCCCCAAGUAACCAAUAAUGUAAUGCGUUCGGAAGCAAAUACAAUUGACUGUCCUACCCCUAUCCCUAGGUGAUAUUGGCAUAACCAAGGAAUUUCCCACCA
Molecule: long non-coding RNA, 1110 nt
Filed under: Vigna radiata
Lineage: Eukaryota; Viridiplantae; Streptophyta; Magnoliopsida; Fabales; Fabaceae
Description: long non-coding RNA (VRAD_LNC000103)
Source: RNAcentral